This 339-nucleotide long non-coding RNA is filed under the name Musa acuminata (dwarf banana). RNAcentral describes it as "long non-coding RNA (MACU_LNC005347)". Lineage: Eukaryota; Viridiplantae; Streptophyta; Magnoliopsida; Zingiberales; Musaceae. The record is from RNAcentral.
AUAAAGAUACGUUGGGAGGAAGCCGACAGGAGCAAGAUGGAGGAGUAGGGAUAGGGCUGAGGAUAAGCUUUACGGAGUGGCUGAGGGAAGGAGGGGUAUGGAUAGGAUGCUGGAAAGAUUCCACGAAGAGGUUGAGCGUCAGAGUUGCGUUUGGACACUAUCACAUCGGAUGCAGUAAACACCGAAACGGGACCAAUUUGAUCUGAUGCUGCGUUGGGAUGACUGUGAUCUCAUCUCCUCAUCUUUAUCUUCCGGCUUGAGACAUUAGAUGAUUGUUGGUAUGUGGUCUCAUUCUCCAUUUUUCGGCUCUUUGUGCUGGUCCUGAUUUCUAAAAAGAAA